GAUGAACGCUAGCUACAGGCUUAACACAUGCAAGUCGAGGGGAAACGACAUCGAAAGCUUGCUUUUGAUGGGCGUCGACCGGCGCACUGGUGAGUAACGCGUAUCCAACCUGCCCACCACUUGGGGAUAACCUUGCGAAAGUAAGACUAAUACCCAAUGAUAUCCCACGAAGACAUCUGAAUGGGAUUAAAGAUUUAUCGGUGAUGGAUGGGGAUGCGUCUGAUUAGCUUGUUGGCGGGGUAACGGCCCACCAAGGCAACGAUCAGUAGGGGUUCUGAGAGGAAGGUCCCCCACAUUGGAACUGAGACACGGUCCAAACUCCUACGGGAGGCAGCAGUGAGGAAUAUUGGUCAAUGGGCGAGAGCCUGAACCAGCCAAGUAGCGUGCAGGAAGACGGCCCUAUGGGUUGUAAACUGCUUUUAUAAGGGAAUAAAGUGGGUCACGUGUGACUUUUUGCAUGUACCUUAUGAAUAAGGACCGGCUAAUUCCGUG
This 492-nucleotide ribosomal RNA is filed under the name uncultured bacterium. RNAcentral's name for it is "partial 16S ribosomal RNA". It matches the Rfam family "Bacterial small subunit ribosomal RNA", at positions 28 to 507 of the family's 1533-position model. The record is from RNAcentral.